Molecule: ribosomal RNA, 247 nt
Filed under: uncultured bacterium
Lineage: Bacteria
Description: partial 16S ribosomal RNA
Rfam family: Bacterial small subunit ribosomal RNA
Source: RNAcentral
AAGGCUUGACAUGUGCCGGUCGGCUCCGGAGACGGGGUUUCCUCCUUGUGGGGCCGGUUCACAGGUGGUGCAUGGUUGUCGUCAGCUCGUGUCGUGAGAUGUUGGGUUAAGUCCCGCAACGAGCGCAACCCUUGUCCCGUGUUGCCAGCACGUUGUGGUGGGGACUCGCGGGAGACUGCCGGGGUCAACUCGGAGGAAGGUGGGGAUGACGUCAAAUCAUCAUGCCCCUUAUGUCUUGGGCUUCACG